RNAcentral lists this long non-coding RNA (5345 nucleotides) under Solanum tuberosum (potato). RNAcentral describes it as "long non-coding RNA (STUB_LNC011030)". The record is from RNAcentral. Lineage: Eukaryota; Viridiplantae; Streptophyta; Magnoliopsida; Solanales; Solanaceae.
CCCCGAAAUCUGAUAUUUUUGCAGUGUAACUCUCAUCGAGUAGAAUGUUUGUAGACUUCACAUCUCAAUGAAUUACAGGUGUAGAAGCUGCAGAAUGUAGAUAUGCGAGUGCACCAGCAGCUUCAGAUGCUAUUCUUAAUCGAUUUUCCCAUGAAAACCAACGCAUUUGAUCUCCACCAUCAUGAAUAUGGUAAUAGAGUGUACCUUUGGAAAUGUAUUCAUAGACUAGUAGAGGUACUUCAGACUCCAAACAACACCCCAAGAGUUUCACCACGUUUCGAUGAUUGACUUCUGAAAGAAUGAUCACUUCAUUGAUGAACAAUUCUAUUUGGAUGACGUCCAUUGUUCUAGACUUUUUAAUUGCAACUACACGUUUGUCCGGAAGGACACCUUUGUAAACUGUACCAUAACCACCUCGGCCUAGGAUACGAUCCUCAGCAUAGUUGUUGGUUGAUUUCUCGAGUUCUGCUGCUGUAAAGAUCUUAGCUGCAUACUGUAUACCACCCUCAUUUGAUCGGAGUUUCUGCGUGAGCAUCAAUCCACCAUUUUUCUGAAAAAACGUUUCCCUGAGUCUUAUGAGUCGUCAUCUUUUGAUGCCUAAGUAUAUCCAAGUUACACUGAUGACCAAAGCCAGAAAACCAAAGCACAAACCUGCAAUGAAAGUGCAACUUUAGUUUACUCUUAACCGUUUUCACUUUAUAUGAAGGUGUUUGACUGGACACACAGAGUAGAGUAGACGUACUGAUUGAGAGUUGAAGGAUGGGUGAUUUAGAGUUCUUAGGGAUGCAACCGUGGCCGUCCUUUUUUCCAUCACCAAUCUGACCAUGUGGACAAGUGCAGCUGUAGCCUCCAGGAAAGUUAUUGCAUAUUCCAUCACAAGGAUUCUCGUUCUCGCAUUCAUUUAUAUCUGUCAAUUAAUCAAACAUCAGAACGUAAAGAGGUUGUUUCUGAUAGACCCUCGGCUCAAAUGCAACACUAACCAACACAUAUAACAUCAUUCGAACAAAGUAACUUUGGCUCAAACCUUACUAAACAAGCACAAAUCGUAGAUUCCUAACCAAGUUACGACAAUUUCAAACUCGAACACAAAAAGUUCAAAUCAUGAAUUCAGUCUUACCUAUGCAACCUGGACUGAUAUAAGGGUUCCCCUGGUAUCCCGGUUUGCAGUUGCAACGAUAACCUCCGAGGCCUGUCUUAGAAUCUACACAAACACUAUUUUCUCCACAAGCAUAAUCUGCUGAUUUCUUAGCCACAGUGCAACUACCAUUGCCAAUAACCCAAUCAAUCACCACAGGGACUUCCUCUAUAACCUUGUUCCUGAAACUCGAAUUUGAUAAAUCCGAGCUCUUGAAAAUGAACUUAUCAGGCUCACCAAGAAACAAGUAGCCACAAGGGUUAAAAGAAGACACAUUUGUAUGGUUAUUCAAACUCCUUGUUAGACUCACAAAACUCUUCAAACCUGUUGGGAUUGAAGUCUGGCAACAUCCAAUUCCUGAGCAAUAUCCUUCAAUUAUAUCCUCUUUUUUCGCGCAUAGUGAAAUGCAUCCACUAGUAAAGUUCCUCCCUUCAUAGCCGAGAAUGAGAGCUAAGUCAUCGCAGCCAACUACCAUCAAACUAUUGAGAUCAGAGAAGGAGAAAGACGUCAAUCCCAAGCUAAAGUUUAUCGAGUCAUCAUUGAUCAAGACCCCUGCUUGAUCAUAACACCUACUCCCAACAUUGUUCUUAAAAUAAGAAAGGGCAAGAUAAAGAAAAAAUAAAUAAAUAACGGACAGGAUCACACCAAAUUGCAAGUUACAUAAAAUAACAGUUAUCGUCAUUACAAUAACAGAUUUAUAAUACAAAAACAUUAACAUACAAGAAAUUUGAAAAUUAAAGCAUCAAUUUUUUGCAAAAUCUAGUGAUGCUUUACCAGAAGGCCUCUUAAUAAAGCAAUGAUCCCAAUAAUUAGAGAACAAAAUAUGUUUGUACACUGGUUUUUCUCCAUCUUUUAGCAUUUGUGGGAAUGAACCAAUGACACUAUCAAAACUAGGAUUCACGCAUAGCGGUACAGAUAUUCGAGUCCUGCUCGAAUCAACUGCUACACAAUGCUCGAUACUCUUGUAUCGAUCAUUGCUCAUGAUCUGCAAUGAGUCACCUAUAUUAACCGCUAAGGCACCUUUGAUAGGAUUUACGUGAAUCCAGUUGCCUUUAGUCCCUCGGACAUAUAGGCCUCCUGUGUCGUCCUGGAGGAGCAAAGUUAUGCAGCCCAUGUCGCAGUGUCUACGAAAACCCAUGGCGAUACUUGGAUUUGGGCAUGGUGGAUAGUAGUUGAUGUUUAUAGACAUAGUUCCCAUCAAGAGAAGUUCUAAAGAUUCGUCAAUUUCAUUGACAUUGAGACCCUUCAAUAGCACCUCAAGCAAUUUUUUAGCAAGUGGUUUAACCCACUUUUGAUACUCCAAAACUUGGUUCCUAUAAAUCAAUAACAAACUCAGGAAUUUUAUUAAGAGCAUUAGUGUUUAAUGGGAAGGUCAAAUUUUUCUCUAAUAACGUUCAAGAUUCAAUGUCAAAGUUAAGAAUUUCACUAAGAAUAUUUCGUAAGUCUAUAAAAUCACAACCUCCUUAUGCUGCUAAGACAGAGGUAAAAUAUGCGUAUAUUCUACCCUCUCCAUACUCUACUUGUGAGAUUAUACUAGAUAUGUAAUCGUAUAAAAGAUAACUUUUCUCCUACAUAUACGAUAUACUUUUGAUUUAAGUUAUAAAAACCAUUAUAAAAUCUUGAUAUAAUUUUGUAUUCAACCACUUAAUCUAGUUAGUUUUUAAAUAUCUUUUGAUAAAUAGUUGGUGAUAGUUCAGAAACGUCAAGCACCUCCCAAAAAGUAAUACUACUUGAAAACCCGUGACCUAUUGAUUACACAGAGUAGAAAACCCCAAAAAGUUACCUUGUUUGAGGAGGCCAAAGAUUGCUAUCAUUUUUGUGGAUUACAACCAUGUUUUAUACUAUCCCUCCACUCCAAAACUUUCUCAUCUUUCUCACCAAUAGCACUCCAAAACAUAAACACAGAUUCACCAGGACUAACUUUUUCUUUAUGAUACUUAACUUUUUCUUCAGCUGGCAAUUCAAAGAAUUUGUGUGCCGCAUCCUUCAAAUCUUCAAGAACUUCAAUUGGGAUGCCAUGAUUGAUGAUUUGGAAGAAACCCCACUUGCUUGCUGCUUCUUGAAUUGACUUUUCAACAUUUAAAUCAUCAAAAUUUGAUAAAUCAAUUGUUGGGAUUGAUUCUUGAUUAUCAAUUUGGGACUUGUCUAGUCUUUGUUCUUUUGGUUGAAUGCAUUGAUUUGGGAUAAUUUCAAGGUUUGUGUCUACUAGGCCUUUUAGUCCAUUUGCUUUCUUGAUUACAAAAUCAAGUAUGUCAUCAUUUGGUUCAAAUUUUGAAGAAGACAUUUGUAUUGAAUCUUGAUGAGUGUGUACUACUGGGAGAAGGAAAUUUGGAGUUGUAUUAAUGGUGGGUUUGAGAGGGGUGUAUAUGGGGGCGAGGGAAGAAAGGGGGGCGGGGGGGUUGGCUAUGAAAUGAUGGAAGAUUGAACCAUUCCUUCAUCUAACAACGAGGGAUCAUGCUGAAGUGGUAAACAUUUUUUAAUCAAAUCUCUUGAAUUCAAAUUUUCUUAAAUACAAUAUUGUUUUUAUUAGAGAUUGUUUUACUUCCCAAUAUAGGACUUUUCGGUACAAAUUCAAUUUUAGUUGGACUCAAUAUGAAUAUCAAAUAUCCAUUGAUUAAAAAGAUUAUUCCUUCUUCUAUUAUUUGAAAGGGAGUGGGGGUGGGGUAUGUGGAUGAUAUAUUAAAUACCUAAACAAAAUUCUUGAAUUGAUUUUUUAUUUAGUAUUUCAAAUUUUAUUUUUUAUUUAAUCAAACAUCAUUAUCAUAAAAUAGCUAUUUGGAAAUUGGUGAGGUGGCUUCUUGAUGUCCAUGGGUGAAUUGUGGUUCGUAGAUAACAUCCAAAACUUUUUUUGUCGGUUGUUAUGAAUGAUGAAUUUUGUAUAUUAUAUCCAUAAAAAUUAUCAGUAAAAAUAGAUAUAAUUUAAUUUUCUUAUUUACUUUUCAUAGUAUAACUUUUAUAGCUAUAAAUUUGAUGGAAACAUAUCAAAUGUGGAUUAUAUUUUUUACUAAGUAGGAAAAAGCUUUAAAAAGUCUUUUAAAAGCACUACCACUUAAAUCAUUAGAAGAAAAAAAUCUAAAUGUUUAGUGUCCUUCGUUUGCUAGAAAAUUUGCGUAUUGAUUUGCCUCUCUCUAAAUAAAUGUGUUUGAUAAUGUCAAAAGUUGAAUUAUACGGAAAAAAAAUUGAACUAUGCCAAAUGCUCAAAAUUCAAAAAAUGUGGAAUUAUACACUAAUUUAUACAAGUUAAAUUGUAAACAACAAAAUAAUAAGGGGAUUUACAUUCUGCAACAUAUCAACCUAGUCUUUUAAUGAGUUGAGCUAGUAAAUAGGCGAACCAAUGACUAGGCCAAACUUGGACGGAUUUGAUGAAUCAUAAUGAAGUACAUUCUGCAACAUACAAGUUAGGACACACAAAUGCAGGCUUUACACAAGUAAUGGAUCACCGGGGACUAUGAAUUUGUAACAUCAUCCGACUAUCCAAGCUCUGUUGUCCUGAGAAUUCUCCGUUAGACAUGAAGUUCGUGUUCAUAUUGAUCGCGUAAAGGUCCAAUGUUUGUUCUGUAAUUAAUCCAAGACUCUCCUCAUCUUGACAUUGUUGAGUUUUAGACCAUGGAUGUUUUGUGAACUUCCUUAGUCCUUCUAGCUCCAUGGCUACUUCUUUCAUCGUAGGCCUUUCUUCACUCGUUAACCUUAAACAUCUCUUCGCGAGCUCAGCAACACCUUGACAUUGCUCAAAACUUCCUUCUCGAACCACACGUGACUCAAGUACUUGAAACAAUCGAUUUUCCUUAAUAGACCUAACGAAAAAUGCAGCUAGAUUUCUCUCUUGUUCGGAUGCUGUAGUAUCUAGUGGCAUUCGCGCUGUUAAGAGCUCUGCAAGAACCACGCCAAAACUAUAAACGUCACUCUUUUCUGUCAAUUGACUUGUGUGGAAGUAUUCAGGAUCUAAGUAACCUAAAGUUCCUUGAACCAAUGUAGUCACUUGAGUUUGAUCCAAUGACACUAAUCUAGAAGCCCCGAAAUCUGAUAUCUUUGCGGUGUAAUUCUCAUCUAGUAGAAUGUUUGUAGACUUCACAUCUCGAUGAAUUACAGGUGUAGAAGCUGCAGAAUGUAGAUACGCGAGUGCACCAGCAGCUUCAGACGCUAUUCUUAAUCGAUUUUCCCAUGAAAACCAACGCGUUUGAUCUCCACCAUCAUGAAUAUGGUCAUAGAG